This 508-nucleotide ribosomal RNA is filed under the name uncultured Alphaproteobacteria bacterium. RNAcentral's name for it is "bacterial SSU rRNA". It matches the Rfam family "Bacterial small subunit ribosomal RNA", at positions 370 to 896 of the family's 1533-position model. The record is from RNAcentral. Lineage: Bacteria; Pseudomonadati; Pseudomonadota; Alphaproteobacteria.
AAUGGGCGAAAGCCUGACGCAGCCAUGCCGCGUGUAUGAUGAAGGUCUUAGGAUUGUAAAAUACUUUCACCGGUGAAGAUAAUGACUGUAGCCGGAGAAGAAGCCCCGGCUAACUUCGUGCCAGCAGCCGCGGUAAUACGAAGGGGGCUAGCGUUGCUCGGAAUUACUGGGCGUAAAGGGAGCGUAGGCGGACAUUUAAGUCAGAGGUGAAAUCCCGGAGCUUAACUUCGGAACUGCCUUUGAUACUGGGUGUCUUGAGUGUGAGAGAGGUAUGUGGAACUCCGAGUGUAGAGGUGAAAUUCGUAGAUAUUCGGAAGAACACCAGUGGCGAAGGCGACAUACUGGCUCAUUACUGACGCUGAGGCUCGAAAGCGUGGGGAGCAAACAGGAUUAGAUACCCUGGUAGUCCACGCCGUAAACGAUGAUUGCUAGUUGUCGGGAAGCUUGCUUCUCGGUGACGCAGCUAACGCAUUAAGCAAUCCGCCUGGGGAGUACGGUCGCAAGAUUA